This 466-nucleotide ribosomal RNA is filed under the name uncultured bacterium. RNAcentral describes it as "partial 16S ribosomal RNA". It matches the Rfam family "Bacterial small subunit ribosomal RNA", at positions 28 to 507 of the family's 1533-position model. The record is from RNAcentral.
GACGAACGCUGGCGGCGUGCUUAACACAUGCAAGUCGAACGGAAAGGCUCCUGCUUGUUGGGGUACUCGAGUUGCGAACGGGUGGGUAGCACGAGGGGUAUCUGCCCUGCACUCCUCUUUAAGCUUACGGCACGGGGUCUAAUACCGUAUAGGACCGCCUUUUUGAUUGUGUGGUGGAAUGUUGUUUCGGUGUGGGUUGGGCUCGCGGCGUAUCAGCGUGUUGGCGGGGUGUUGGCCUACGAAGGCGUCGCCGGGUCGCCGGCCUGAGAGGGUGUACGGCAACAUUGGGACUGCGAUAGGGCGCAGACGCGUACGGGAGGCAGCAGUGGGGAAUAUUGCACAAUGGGCGCAAGCCUGAUGCAGCGACGCCGCGUGGGGGAUGACGGCCUUCGGGUUGUGAACUCCUUUCGCUAGGGACGAAGAGUAAUUGACGGUAGCUGGAGAAGAAGCACCGGCUAACUACGUG